Salvelinus fontinalis (brook trout) is the source of this 292-nucleotide long non-coding RNA. RefSeq lists it as uncharacterized. The transcript is spliced from 3 exons. NCBI's taxonomy places the organism in Eukaryota, Metazoa, Chordata, Actinopteri, Salmoniformes, Salmonidae. The record is from RefSeq and is a predicted model, not a curated record.
GUGGGGGAGAGGGGGGGUUAACACUGACACAGAGGUGGAGGAGAGGGGGGGUUAACACUGACACAGAGGUGGAGGAGAGGGGGGGUUAACACUGACACAGAGGUGGGGGAGAGGGGGGGUUAACACUGACACAGAGGUGGAGGAGAGCGGGGGGUUAACACUGACACAGAGGUGGGGGAGAGGGGGGGUUAACACUGACACAGAGGUGGAGGAGAGGGGGGGUUAACACUGACACAGAGGUGGGGGAGAGGGGGGUUAACACUGACACAGAGGUGGAGGAGAGGGGGGGUUA